Molecule: transfer RNA, 77 nt
Filed under: Rivihabitans pingtungensis
Lineage: Bacteria; Pseudomonadati; Pseudomonadota; Betaproteobacteria; Neisseriales; Aquaspirillaceae
Also listed under: 2 other names
Description: tRNA-Arg
Rfam family: tRNA
About the family: Transfer RNA (tRNA) molecules are approximately 80 nucleotides in length. Their secondary structure includes four short double-helical elements and three loops (D, anti-codon, and T loops).
Source: RNAcentral
GCGCCCGUAGCUCAACCGGAUAGAGCAUCGGCCUUCUAAGCCGGCGGUUACAGGUUCGAUUCCUGUCGGGCGCGCCA